CUCUUGGCGUGUGUCAGCUGUUUGUGACAUGACAUGGGUUUGAGACUCCUUCUUUCCCAGCGUGCCCCACAGGGGAAGUCUCUAGAGCCAGGCCCACCCGGGGACAGCAGAGCAGAGCCCUCCCUCUACCUCCAGGACCUAAAUUCUGCAGUAGGGCCAUCUGCCCUGACACCUUCCAAAAGGGUCAUGGUAGAAGAUAUGAAGCAGAAGUCUGCGAGGAUUUCAUCUUCCAACUUUGAGGACCAGGUAUCUGCCCACCCACUCCCAUUUCGCCUUGUCUUUGGUGGAAGCUGGGCUGCAUCUGGAGCUGGUGGGUCUGUGGCCGAAGAUCUGCCUUGUACAGCAGCAACAGGCUCCCCUCCUCUCCUCUUGCUUGCCUGAUGUGGUUGCACUCAACAUGCUUCUUAACUUUUGUAAAAUUCUACAGUGGAAUCUUCAGGACAAGGCCACUGAGUGGUCUCCUGGGUAUUUCCUGUUACUUCGACCAUCCCUCACUGGGCACUGGCCCACUCUGCCUUUAUUUCCAGGGAAUGUCCUCCUCAGUUGAUCAUGAAAACAAGCAAGGCAGGUGGCUGUUACCAUUAACUACAGUUCACAUGGGAGGAAGCUGAGCAACUUCCCUAAGAAAUUCAGCCAGGAAGUAGCAGAGAAAGGGGAUUGAACCCAGGUCUUUGGCCUUGAGCCCCUUUUUCCCUCUGGUCAAAACUGCAUUCCUGGAACUUAUGGCUGGUUAUGUUUCUGGGAAAGGCACUACAAGUUGAAAUGAUAAAGUCCCUGUCCUGAGCCUGCAGCUGGAAGGAAGAGUGGCCUGGCGCUGUUAUUUUUAGAAGAUGGAGGGCUGGGUGAAGAUUGCGGCCCAGGUCGGGGUCUGCUUCCCUUUAUGGGGGUGAUUUUUCCAUGGAGAUCCAGUGUUUCCUCUGGGCUCACUCAUGAGGAAGAUAACCCACUGCACUCUAGAAAAGGUGAUCUGGCGGACGGUGGCUUGCUACGUUGCCUUUUCUGGGUCCUGAUGACUCAUCUUACAACAGCCCUGCUAGAAGAGAGAUGCAAGGCUUUGAGACAAGAGUUCACCUGGCCACCGUCUUUACAAUCCCUAUACUCUAUUUUAAAUAUAAACAGAACCAAAACACAGGCCAACAAACGAAAAACUCCAAAAAGAACUUUGUCAUUUUUCUAAUUUUCCCCUUCAUCUCCUCUUUUAUAGAGUGCACUUGUCUGCCUAUUUUCCUAUCUCAUGUAUCUAUCAAUCCAUCUCCUAUCGUCUCUCUAUCAUCUACCCAUCCAUGCAGCUAUCUAAACUUGCAAUCUAAACUUGAUAGGAAAUCAGGGAAGCACAAAUGUCUCUCACCCCCACAUUGUCAGUGGGAAAACUACUCUCUUGUUAGCUGUGAAAAUAUCACUCCAUUGACCUUUUGACAGAUCUCUGGGCCUGAACCUAAUGACCCAGUUAUGUCCUAUUUUCUGUAGCCCUGAUGGGAAAAGGAGGUGGGUUAUGUAAAGAGAGAAAAAGAGGAUAGAUCCAUGAGAUUGUUCAGUUCCACUUCAGCGUCUAUGUGGAGAUGAGACCAAACCAUUCGUGACAGAAUGGAAUCAAUUGUUUUCUUCUCCAGAUUUCCCAGAAAAGUGAUCUCCUCCCAUAGUGGUCGAGCUGUUUGUUUUCUGGGACUGAGAUUUAGCAGGGUUUUGUUUGUUUGCUGGGUGAGGGCAACACGAGGGGAUGAGGUACCAUACCAAACUGAGCUUCUGAUGUAAUGUUAGCAAGCUGGAUUGCAUUCCCAUUUUACACUCUUCCACUGGUCUAGAGAAGACGCUUUAGGAAAUGAACACGUAGCUAGCAUGAGAGUUUAAUAAAAGGCUGAUGCUUCAUCUCUUGGCUUAAUCAUUUGAUUGCCAAGGAGGCUGUCUUUCCCUAUACCUUAUUCUCAGCUGAUAGCCUGGUGCCCUUGACUGUCCAAAACUGUUACAGGCCCAUAGUCCAAGACAAGAUUCUCAUGAGAAAAAGUGCAGGAGAGACAGGAAAUGGGACCCCAGGAGUCUGUUCUCAUGACAUGAAUUCAGUGGAAACAAUGGGAUGGGUCCGCUCUUUUCCAGUUUUUGGUUGACUUUCUUCUUUGAUGAUCUUUCUUUCUCCUGACCCUUCCGCCCACCCUGACCCUCUCCCAGGGAUGGGAAGCAGGAUAUUUUCAUAAAGCCUUUGUUCCUGGGAGGAGCUCAUGCUCUGUCUCGGGUCAAACUCUCCCUUCCCAUUCCAACUACUCAGGUGCCCAUGGACUUCCUGCAGGAACAUCUCCAGGAGUCCAGGCUUCCCUGCCCAUAUUUUAUCUGGAUGGGAGUAAGACACACCCGUCUAAUUCACGUAAAAUCUAAAUUGCUUUUUAAAAUGGCACAAAAUAAAAUAUUAAACACCAA
Homo sapiens (human) is the source of this 2409-nucleotide long non-coding RNA. RefSeq lists it as uncharacterized. The record is from RefSeq and is marked validated. NCBI's taxonomy places the organism in Eukaryota, Metazoa, Chordata, Mammalia, Primates, Hominidae. The transcript is spliced from 3 exons.